This 180-nucleotide non-coding RNA is filed under the name Gracilibacteraceae bacterium. RNAcentral's name for it is "6S RNA". It matches the Rfam family "6S / SsrS RNA". From Rfam's summary of the family: E. coli 6S RNA was the first non coding RNA to be sequenced, but its function was unknown until recently. It consists of 184 nucleotides that fold into an extended hairpin structure with a large single-stranded internal bulge. The record is from RNAcentral. Lineage: Bacteria; Bacillati; Bacillota; Clostridia; Eubacteriales; Gracilibacteraceae.
ACAUUCCUGCUCUGUUGGUAGGGCAAGCAUGGUUUUGAUCCUAAAUUUGACACGGGAGCCGGCAGUGAGCGACUCAUUAUGUCAUGCUUUUACUUAAAGAAGACAGAAGCGUGGUUCCAGGCGCCCACCUGCUUCAGCAGGGUCAGAAAACCGGCGGUCUUACGGCAGCGUGGGGAAAAA